CCUACGGGUGGCAGCAGUGGGGAAUAUUGCGCAAUGGGCGAAAGCCUGACGCAGCGACGCCGCGUGAGGGAUGAAGGUCUUCGGAUCGUAAACCUCUGUCAGCAGGGAAGAACGGUCACGGUGCUAAGCAGCAGUGAAUUGACGGUACCUGCAAAGGAAGCACCGGCUAACGCCGUGGCAGCAGCCGCGGUAAGACGGAGGGUGCGAGCGUUCAUCGGAAUUACUGGGCGGAAAGCGCUCGUAGGCGGUAUGUCAAGUAAAGGGUGAACUCCCCGCGCUCAACGUGGGAACUGCCUUUGAAACUGGCAAACUGGAGUGUGUGAGAGGAUAGUGGAAUUCCAGGUGUAGGCGUGAAAUCCGUAGAUAUCUGGAGGAACAUCAGUGGCGAAGGCGACUCUCUGGCCCAUACCUGACGCUGCGGAGCGAAAGCGUGGGUAGCAAACAGGAUUAGAUACCCCAGUAGUC
Molecule: ribosomal RNA, 465 nt
Filed under: uncultured bacterium
Lineage: Bacteria
Description: partial 16S ribosomal RNA
Rfam family: Bacterial small subunit ribosomal RNA
Source: RNAcentral